RNAcentral lists this ribosomal RNA (254 nucleotides) under uncultured bacterium. RNAcentral describes it as "partial 16S ribosomal RNA". It matches the Rfam family "Bacterial small subunit ribosomal RNA", at positions 524 to 776 of the family's 1533-position model. The record is from RNAcentral.
UACGGGGGGGGCAAGCGUUGUUCGGAAUUACUGGGCGUAAAGGGCUCGUAGGUGGCCAACUAAGUCAGACGUGAAAUCCCUCGGCUUAACCGGGGAACUGCGUCUGAUACUGGAUGGCUUGAGAUUGGGAGAGGGAUGCGGAAUUCCAGGUGUAGCGGUGAAAUGCGUAGAUAUCUGGAGGAACACCGGUGGCGAAGGCGGCAUCCUGGACCAACACUGACGCUGAGGGAGUGAAAGCCAGGGGAGCAAACGGG